RNAcentral lists this long non-coding RNA (318 nucleotides) under Zea mays. RNAcentral's name for it is "long non-coding RNA NONZMAT000353". The record is from RNAcentral. Lineage: Eukaryota; Viridiplantae; Streptophyta; Magnoliopsida; Poales; Poaceae.
GAGCAGUACCCCUAGGAGCCACCAUCACCGAGAGAAGCGAGCAUGCGUAGGUAGCGCCGCCGGGCCUCCGCCGACGUUGAUCCCCGCCUCCACCGUCUUUCGGAGUCUGUUGGGUGGUCAGGGUCGUUCGAUUGGGUGUGCUGAUAGAGUACGGGGAAGUCUCAAGGCGCUCGAGGUCAAGAUUAAACACUAAUCGCUCGUCGGAUUCGGGUGGAUACGGCGAACCUGCGCUGUGCCGCGGAUAACUCCUCUCGGCCUCUCAAUCACCGGUAAAUUCUACCUUCGUCUCUUCGCCCUACUUCGUCCUGCAUCUUGCAC